This 497-nucleotide ribosomal RNA is filed under the name uncultured bacterium. Its description in RNAcentral is "partial 16S ribosomal RNA". It matches the Rfam family "Bacterial small subunit ribosomal RNA", at positions 28 to 507 of the family's 1533-position model. The record is from RNAcentral.
GAUGAACGCUGGCGGCGUGCCUAAUACAUGCAAGUCGAGCGAACGGACGAGAAGCUUGCUUCUCUGAUGUUAGCGGCGGACGGGUGAGUAACACGUGGAUAACCUACCUAUAAGACUGGGAUAACCUCGGGAAACCGGAGCUAAUACCGGAUGAUAUUUUGAACCGCAUGGUUCAAAAGUGAAAGACGGUCUUGCUGUCACUUAUAGAUGGAUCCGCGCUGCAUUAGCUAGUUGGUAAGGUAACGGCUUACCAAGGCAACGAUGCAUAGCCGACCUGAGAGGGUGAUCGGCCACACUGGAACUGAGACACGGUCCAGACUCCUACGGGAGGCAGCAGUAGGGAAUCUUCCGCAAUGGGCGAAAGCCUGACGGAGCAACGCCGCGUGAGUGAUGAAGGUCUUCGGAUCGUAAAACUCUGUUAUUAGGGAAGAACAUAUGUGUAAGUAACUGUGCACAUCCUGACGGUACCUAAUCAGAAAGCCACGGCUAACUACGUG